Molecule: ribosomal RNA, 447 nt
Filed under: uncultured bacterium
Lineage: Bacteria
Description: partial 16S ribosomal RNA
Rfam family: Bacterial small subunit ribosomal RNA
Source: RNAcentral
UGCCAGACUCCUACGGGAGGCAGCAGUGGGGGAUAUUGCACAAUGGGGGAAACCCUGAUGCAGCGACGCCGCGUGUGGGAAGACGGUCUUCUGGAUUGUAAACCACUGUCCCCAGGGACGAAAAUGACGGUACCUGACUAAGAAGCCCCGGCUAACUACGUGCCAGCAGCCGCGGUAAUACGUAGGGGGCAAGCGUUAUCCGGAUUUACUGGGUGUAAAGGGGGCGCAGACGGCAGCGCAAGCCAGGAGUGAAAGCCCGGGGCCCAACCCCGGGACUGCUCUUGGAACUGCGCGGCUGGAGUGCAGGAGGGGCAGGCGGAAUUCCUGGUGUAGCGGUGAAAUGCGUAGAUAUCAGGAGGAACACCGGUGGCGAAGGCGGCCUGCUGGACUGCGACUGACGUUGAGGCCCGAAAGCGUGGGGAGCAAACAGGAUUAGAUACCCGAGUA